RNAcentral lists this ribosomal RNA (555 nucleotides) under uncultured marine eukaryote. RNAcentral describes it as "bacterial SSU rRNA". It matches the Rfam family "Eukaryotic small subunit ribosomal RNA", at positions 613 to 1166 of the family's 1831-position model. The record is from RNAcentral.
UUGCAGUUAAAAAGCUCGUAGUUGGAUUUCUGCGGGGGCGGGGCGGCCGACAACAACUCGUCGUUCGAGCUAGCACUUCCCCUGCAUCCUGCCGCGAACCGUGCUACCAUUAGUUUGGUGGCGCUGGGGAUCGGCUCGUUUACUUUGAGAAAAAUAGAGUGUUCAAAGCAGGCCACACGCCUUGAAUAAGUUAGCAUGGAAUAAUGAUAAAGGACUUCGGCUCUAUUUUGUUGGUGUUCGGGACUGAAGUAAUGAUUGAUAGGGACAGUUGGGGCGGUCCGUAUUCCAAAGCGAGAGGUGAAAUUCUUAGACCUUCGGAAGACGAACAGCUGCGAAAGCGUUCCGCAAGGAUGUUCCCUUUGAUCAAGAACGAAAGUUGGGGGAUCGAAGACGAUCAGAUACCGUCGUAGUCUCAACUAUAAACUAUACCAGCUAGGGAUCGGCCAACGUUUACUUACACCGACUUGGUCGGCACCUAAUGAGAAAUCAAAGCAUCUGGGUUCCGGGAGGAGUAUGGUCGCAAAGCUGAAACUUAAAGGAAUUGACGGAAGGGCA